Lolium perenne is the source of this 2310-nucleotide non-coding RNA. Lineage: Eukaryota; Viridiplantae; Streptophyta; Magnoliopsida; Poales; Poaceae. The record is from RefSeq and is a predicted model, not a curated record.
GACAUGAUAAGGCGCUGGAGGUGUUUACUGAUAAAAGUUUUGAUGCUCAUAGAACAUUUUGUUAGUGCAGACAUUCAUGGAUAAAUUUGGGCUCAAUUUGACUGAAUUAUCUCUCUGUUUGUUGGUUUAUUUCUUGAAUUCAUGGGGAAGUCAGAACUAAUUACAUGGGACGCGGCCAUUUAGAUGCAGUGCAGUGGCGGUGUCAUUUAGAUGCGUUUGGAUUUUGUGGCAGGAUCAUAGAAGGGCGACAAGUUCAUGUCACAACCCUCCUUCUAGGCCAUCAAGAUCAUUUUUAUCCUCAAUUUUGUUUUUAAUACUCCCUCCGAUUCAUACUUUGAGUAUACGCCAGUCUGUACGGUCUGGAUCUUACAAUACUUUGGUUUAUAUUUUAUUCAAAAGCAUAUGCAUGAGAUAAUGGCAAUAAAAAAUUCCUCGGAUGUAUUAUCAUGUCUAUUUAAUUUGGCAAGUUCUUGUCAUUAUCUCUCUUAUUUGCCUCCAUAUCUCUAAUCCUGCUUAUUUUUCCUGAAUUUUCUUAGUGGUUGCAGCGAGCACAAGAAAACUGAGUUCGCCAGCUUCAUAUGGUGCUAGCUCUGGUUCAGCCGAGAGUGGAAGUUAAUUGAAGAGUAUGUUCGCACGAGGCUCGAAAACCCCUGGUAAAUGUAUUGAUUUGGUACGUUUCUUGCAUUCCCAGGUUUUAAAAAACUGCAAGGAUUUUAGAGUUCCUGGUGCCUGGGUGGUUGUGUAGGAUUUGGGAGGUAACCCCUCAGAAACAUUUCAACAGUAUGGUACAUUUGGCUUUACAGCUGCAGAACAUGCUCGGGAACAAUCAUUCAAGAAAAAAGAAAGAGAAGUUAGCAUCGUUUUAUCUGCAACUCACCCAAUUUUACAGUACUCCAUAGAUCAUGAGACUAAUUUAGUUUCAUGGUGGUCAAUGAACUCUCUUGGUUGUUAACUAUAUUUGAUAUUUCGCUUAUUUGGCAAAAGUAUUUGAUACAGAAAGGAUGUUCUUUGCUGCAAUAUGAAUAGCCUAUAUUUUGAUAUUUCGCUUGUUUGGCAACAGUAUUUGGUACACUAGGAUUGGAUAGCCAAGCACUUGAGUACAUAUUUGGGGUUUUGCUUAAUACUUCCUCAUGGCCUGUUCAAGAGGAAAAUUCUGUAGCGCUUUCCUUUGUAUAUUAUUUCCUGCCAAAUUCAUGCAUUCUGCUAUUCUAAUUUUUCUAUACAUCCGGCAUCACAGUGGCCACAGGUAGCGCGGGCGGAGUUUGGGGAAAUGAGAACUUCAGGCAGAUUCCAAUGUGUAGUAGAAGUUCAAGGCUCUGGUUUUAAUGCUGUAUAAAAACAAAGCAAAAGGAUGCUCUGGUUUUUCCUGCAACUUAGUUUCUUCUUCGUUUGUACUUUUUUACAGACGCUGGCAACAAGGUGAAUGAACAAGUGGGUUUCAGUGCCCAUCUCAGUAGAGAAUUUGCUUACCAAAUUAUGAUGUUGUUUCUAACUUUUCAGUUUUAUCAUUGAUAUGAUAUUGUUGAUUAAAGGAGCCCCCCUCCCCACACACACACAUAAUCUCGACUUUGGCCUGUAGUCAACAGUUACAAAGUGCAAAUUUUGAUUUAUUUUGCAGGUUCAUCCAUAAGGUAAUGAUUUAAAGGUUCAUCUGCCAGAUAUAAUAUGAGUCAUUUGUUUCAGGCAGAACACAAACGCGUGGAAGUCCGGUGACUCUGGGAGUGGGGACGAUGGCGGGUCAGCAUCUUCCUUCCAUGCCCUCUCCCCUGAUGUGGGUUGGUCGCCGGUGAUGCUGACGUUGAAGGCCUGGUUCAAGUGGAAGGAUUUAGGAGGGUUGGAGGUGAGCGCCCAUCUCCUUGGAUAUUGGUGCAGCAGAUCUACAUCCAUCUCUCUGCUGCAAAGUUACUAUUGCGGGCAUCUGUUGUAAGAGUUAACACUUUACAGGUUGUUUGGAGUUCUGUGCCCGGUAACUCAGCGCUAUACUAUACUCCGUAUCUUGAAACUUUAGUUUAGAAUCCAUGAAAAUACCAGAUUGGUUAGAUAAUUUUGGUUCCCCGCAAAAACAAAAGGUUAGACAAUUUGGGUUAAUUAACUAUGUCGGCAGUGUCUCCCCUCACAGGCUUCUAUCGCUGAGAAGCUCGAUAUAUAUAAAUUCUAUCUCUAAUGACUAACGGUGUAAUUAUCAUUUUUACUCAUUGUAGCUUGUAUCUUUGGUUUUGUUUAUUCUGAAAUAAUUGCAUGUGCGAUGUAAGGACUAAUGGGAUAUAUGUGGUGAUUUGAUGCUAAAGAAGCUACAGAAUCAGCUUUUAA